AUGAAUUUAUAAUCCGGCGAGACGAAGGACGAGGACUGUCGCUGGCCUUUCAUCGAGGCAUGUGCACGCUCUCUUCUGGACUUUCGCCGUAUGGGCGCGGGGCGACCCGCGUCUUCAUAUACCUCUUCGUGUAGAAAGUCCAGAAGAGAGCGUGACUUCUAGGAGACGCGAUUCUUUGAGACAAAAGUUAUCA
RNAcentral lists this unclassified non-coding RNA (193 nucleotides) under uncultured Suillus. RNAcentral's name for it is "sequence contains ITS1". The record is from RNAcentral. Lineage: Eukaryota; Fungi; Basidiomycota; Agaricomycetes; Boletales; Suillaceae.